Molecule: microRNA, 22 nt
Filed under: Mus musculus (house mouse)
Lineage: Eukaryota; Metazoa; Chordata; Mammalia; Rodentia; Muridae
Description: mmu-miR-8101
Source: miRBase by way of RNAcentral
GGCGAGCGGAGCCGGAGGAGCC